CAUCAGGUUAGGAGGGUUUUCUUCUUCUCUCUCUACGUUUCUUCUCUCUCUAAAAGGAGAAUUAAGGGUUUAAGCUUAUUCCUUUUCUCUUCUUAAUGUUUGCUGUCUUGGGGACUUAGAGCAGCUGUGGGGAAGAGAAAGAGGAGUCUUGGGAGGGUAUUUUGGCAACCCUAACUCUGCAGGGAGGUGAUCUACAGCUGAUUAAGCAAGUGUGCGAGCUAUUCUCGGCUAUAUAUGGAGGCUUGGGAGAGCUGAUUGUGAAUGCUUCAACCUGCGAGAAGUGGAAGUUAAGCUCAGUUUGGGAAGGGUAUCGUCGCAGCAGGCUUUUUAAACCAAAUUGAGCUAAAUUUGUGAUAUAAGGAACUUGGUUGCAGGGCAUUCCAACCAAAGUGUUUGUUCGCAGCGGAGUUACGAUCGACCCUUUGAUCGUCUUCGGUUGACUUGUGAGAGCUCUUGGAGACUCAUCUUAAGCAGAGUUGAGACCGUGUGGAGCUGAUUUUGGGACCCCCUUUGGAUUGAUUGGAGCCUAGUGAUAGAGCCAUCUACAGGAGAGGUUAGGGAUCGUGGCAAGGGAG
Molecule: long non-coding RNA, 575 nt
Organism: Ananas comosus (pineapple)
Lineage: Eukaryota; Viridiplantae; Streptophyta; Magnoliopsida; Poales; Bromeliaceae
Exons: 6
Source: RefSeq, a predicted model, not a curated record